ACCCGCUGAACUUAAGCAUAUCAGUAAGCGGAGGAAAAGAAACUAACUAGGAUUCCCCGAGUAGCGGCGAGCGAAAAGGGAGAAGCCCAGCGCCGAAGCCCGCGGCCUCUGGUCGCAGUGCAAUGUGGCGUUACGGUGGCGGCUUGCCGCGGCAUCUCUGGCACGAGUACCUCUGAAUGGGUCUGCCCGCAGCGGGUGUCAGGCCUCUACUUGCCUGCGAGUUGCCGUGGCCUGCCGUUCAUCGCGGAGUCGGGUUGCUUGAGAGUGCAGCCCAAAGUGGGUGGUAAGCUCCAUCUAAGGCUAAAUACCUAGUGCGAGACCGAUAGCAAACAAGUACCGUGAGGGAAAGUUGCAAAGAACUUUGAAAAGAGAGUUCAAGAGUACGUGAAACCGUUCAGAGGCAAACGGACGGAACUGGGCGAGUUCGUCGCCGCCAUUCAGCCGCCGACCUGCGUCGGCGGUGCACUUGGCGGCGGCGGAGCGCGACGACCGCCUGUCGGGUCGUCUGAAGCCCGGCGGCAAGGUGGCGACGCGUUCGCGCGUCGUGUUACAGGCCGCCGAGGCGUUGACUGACUUGGCGGGCGAGGAGCGCCUGCGGUGCACUCCCCGCGCGGGAGUGGCCCGUCGCGGUGGGCUUGCGGACGCCGGCGGCGAACUGCGUGCAGUUCGUCGUCGCGCCGUUCCGUCUGUCGCGCCGCGCGGUGUCACGGGGCACCCAGGGUCCGAGUCGCGUGGUUCCUGGCACUCCGUCCGACCCGUCUUGAAACACGGACCAAGGAGUUGAGCACGCGCGCGAGUCGAUGGGCUCGCAGAACCCCAGAGGCGCAGCUAAGGCAAAACGGGCGUGAUCCGGCACUGGCGUGUCGGCGCAACGCCGGCCCGCAGCCGACUCGAUGCGAGUGGCUGCGGCGCAAGAGCGCGCGUGCUCAGACCCGAAAGGUGGUGAACUAUGCUUGAGCAGGGCGAAGCCAGAGGAAACUCUGGUGGAGGCUCGCAGCGAUCCUGACGUGCAAAUCGGUCGUCAAACUUGAGCAUAGGGGCGAAAGACUAAUCGAACCGCCUAGUAGCUGGUUCCCUCCGAAGUUUCCCUCAGGAUAGCUGGCACUCGGGAUAAAUGGUUUUAUCCGGUAAAGCGAAUGAUUAGAGGCAUUGGGGACGAAACGUCCUCAACCUAUUCUCAAACUUUAAAUGGGUAAGAGGCGCGACCCUUCCUGAUCGGGGUCGCGUGCUCGAACAGAGAGUGCCCAGUGGGCCGUUUUUGGUAAGCAGAACUGGCGCUGUGGGAUGAACCAAACGUGCGGUUAGGGUGCCUAACGCACGCUCAUGAGACACCACAAAAGGUGUUGGUUGAUAUAGACAGCAGGACGGUGGCCAUGGAAGUCGGAAUCCGCUAAGGAGUGUGUAACAACUCACCUGCCGAAUCAACUAGCCCUGAAAAUGGAUGGCGCUGGAGCGUGCGACCCAUACCGCACCGUCGGGGCAAUGCGUGCGAAAUGCCAGGCCCCGACGAGUAGGAGGGCGUGUCGGUGGCGUUGAAGCGUAGUGCGCGAGCACGCGUGGAGCCGCCUUCAGUGCAGAUCUUGGUGGUAGUAGCAAGUAUACAAAUGAGAACUUUGUAGACCGAAGUGGAGAAGGGUUCCAUGUGAACAGCAGUUGGACAUGGGUCAGUCGGCCCUAAGAGAUCGGAGAAUUCCGUUCUGAACGGGGGAGGCGCACUCGCCGUCUGAACCACACCGCCUCUCCGGCGGUGCGUGCGAGGAGCGGCGCUCUGUGUGCGUGGCGGCCCCCGAUGCGAUCGAAAGGGAAUCGGGUUAAUAUUCCCGAACCUGGUAGUGGAGAUUGGGCCCUCGGGCCCCAGUGCGGUAACGCAACCGAACUCGGAGACGCCAGCGUCGAUCCCGGGAAGAGUUCUCUUUUCUUUGUUAGGAGCGGACUCCCUGGAAUUGGCUUGUCCAGAGAUAGGGACGUUGCAUCCGUAAAGCGUCGCGCCUCACGCGGCGUCCGGUGCAUCGGCGUUGGCCCUUGAAAAUCCGAGGGAGGCAGUGUGAUUUUCACUCCAGGCCGUACCCGAAUCCGCAGCAGGUCUCCAAGGUGAACAGCCUCUGGUCGAUAGAACAAUGUAGGUAAGGGAAGUCGGCAAAUCCGAUCCGUAACUUCGGGAUAAGGAUUGGCUCUGAGGUGCGGGCUGCUUCGGGUCGCGGCAAGAAGCGGACCGCGCGUCGGUAGGACUGAGCGUGCUUCGGCGCGUUCGGACCGCCGCCGGCGUGCGUCCGUGGGAGGCCGUGGCUUUCGCCGACGUCGACCCUCGGGUUGGCGCGCGGCUUCGUUCGGCCUAAACGCACAGCACAGAACUGGCACGGACUCUGGGAACACGACUGUCUAAUUAAAACAAAGCAUCGCGAUGGCCGCUGGUCGGUGUUGACGCGAUGUGAUUUCUGCCCAGUGCUUUGAAUGUCAAAGUGAAGAAAUUCAACCAAGCGCAGGUAAACGGCGGGAGUAACUAUGACUCUCUUAAGGUAGCCAAAUGCCUCGUCAUCUAAUUAGUGACGCGCAUGAAUGGAUUAACGAUGUUCCCACUGUCCCUAUCUACUAUCUAGCGAAACCACAGCCAAGGGAACGGGCUUGGCAAAUACAGCGGGGAAAG
This 2644-nucleotide ribosomal RNA is filed under the name Amphiblestrum blandum. Its description in RNAcentral is "partial large subunit ribosomal RNA". It matches the Rfam family "Eukaryotic large subunit ribosomal RNA", at positions 23 to 2406 of the family's 3401-position model. The record is from RNAcentral. Lineage: Eukaryota; Metazoa; Bryozoa; Gymnolaemata; Cheilostomatida; Calloporidae.